UUCCAGACUCCUACGGGAGGCAGCAGUGGGGGAUAUUGCACAAUGGGGGAAACCCUGAUGCAGCGACGCCGCGUGGGUGAAGAAGCGCCUCGGCGCGUAAAGCCCUGUCAGCAGGGAAGAAAAUGACGGUACCUGAAGAAGAAGCCCCGGCUAACUACGUGCCAGCAGCCGCGGUAAUACGUAGGGGGCAAGCGUUAUCCGGAUUUACUGGGUGUAAAGGGGGCGCAGACGGCGAUGCAAGCCAGGAGUGAAAGCCCGGGGCCCAACCCCGGGACUGCUCUUGGAACUGCGUGGCUGGAGUGCAGGAGGGGCAGGCGGAAUUCCUGGUGUAGCGGUGAAAUGCGUAGAUAUUAGGAGGAACACCAGUGGCGAAGGCGGCUUACUGGACAGUAACUGACGUUGAGGCUCGAAAGCGUGGGGAGCAAACAGGAUUAGAUACCCCAGUAUC
RNAcentral lists this ribosomal RNA (448 nucleotides) under uncultured bacterium. RNAcentral describes it as "bacterial SSU rRNA". It matches the Rfam family "Bacterial small subunit ribosomal RNA", at positions 329 to 794 of the family's 1533-position model. The record is from RNAcentral.